UGCCCCGCGCAGCCCCCCCUGACACUGCCAGACCCUGACCCCAGCCGCGCAGCCAGCACUUUCCAAGUUUCGUGCGCCGCGUGUUGCGCCGGGGUGACGGGGUCGGGACGGGGUGGGGGCAGGGGAAGGAGCUCGCCAUCGCCCCCACCUCGCGGCUGCUCCACGCUUCUCCUCCCGGCCCCUCUCAGCAAGCCUCCGCUCCGCUCCAGCUCUUCCCGCAGCUGUUCUGGUGGAUUUCGUUCCCGCCAGCAAGGCCCUGUUCUCUCCGCGGGGUUAAUUAAGUGAAGGUCUCCAUGGAAACGAGAACUCAUAGAGGGCAGGCUGAGAACUAUGGCGUCUACGCUUGGUGAUCGAACACAGAAAGUCCUAGAGUGAACUCCUUCUGCUUUGACAAUUCACUCACUCUCCUUCUCAGACUUCGCCCCUCCGAACUAUCUCUGCCCCAUUACCUAGCACAUGACACCGCUCCAGCAGAGGGCCCUGGUAAGCAUAAAGG
Molecule: long non-coding RNA, 496 nt
Organism: Eubalaena glacialis (North Atlantic right whale)
Lineage: Eukaryota; Metazoa; Chordata; Mammalia; Artiodactyla; Balaenidae
Exons: 3
Source: RefSeq, a predicted model, not a curated record